CGAGUUUGCGAAUGCGGGUGGUUGCAGUUUCUAGCGGUUUUAAGAAAUUUGUACGACUGAUUAUAUAGUUAGAAAUUGGUGUGUCUGUGAAAUACUUAUGACUGAUUAAAUACCAAAUGCGGUAGCGGUUGAAUAAUAAAUUAACAAUAUUUAAAUUUAAUUUAUAUAAUUAUAAAAUAUCAAAAAUCAUAAUAUUAAAUAUAAAAAUUAAUUUUAGAAAGUUAUAG
RNAcentral lists this long non-coding RNA (227 nucleotides) under Brassica napus (rape). RNAcentral describes it as "long non-coding RNA (BNAP_LNC014810)". Lineage: Eukaryota; Viridiplantae; Streptophyta; Magnoliopsida; Brassicales; Brassicaceae. The record is from RNAcentral.